CACGUAGGGGACGAGCGUUGUCCGGAAUUAUUGGGCGUAAAGCGCGCGCAGGUGGUUUCUUAAGUCUGAUGUGAAAGCCCACGGCUCAACCGUGGAGGGUCAUUGGAAACUGGGGAACUUGAGUGCAGAAGAGGAAAGUGGAAUUCCAAGUGUAGCGGUGAAAUGCGUAGAGAUCCGGAGGAACCCCAGAGGCGAAGGCGGCGUCCUGGCUCGCAACUGACGCUCAGACACGACAGCAUGGGGAGCGAACGGG
This 253-nucleotide ribosomal RNA is filed under the name uncultured bacterium. Its description in RNAcentral is "partial 16S ribosomal RNA". It matches the Rfam family "Bacterial small subunit ribosomal RNA", at positions 524 to 776 of the family's 1533-position model. The record is from RNAcentral.